UGGAACGUAGCUCAAGUGGUAGAGCAGUAGAUUUUUAACCUAUUGUUGCAGGUUCGAGCCCUGUCGUUCCAA
RNAcentral lists this transfer RNA (72 nucleotides) under Caudoviricetes sp. RNAcentral's name for it is "tRNA-Lys". It matches the Rfam family "tRNA". From Rfam's summary of the family: Transfer RNA (tRNA) molecules are approximately 80 nucleotides in length. Lineage: Duplodnaviria; Heunggongvirae; Uroviricota; Caudoviricetes. The record is from RNAcentral.